This 253-nucleotide ribosomal RNA is filed under the name uncultured bacterium. Its description in RNAcentral is "partial 16S ribosomal RNA". It matches the Rfam family "Bacterial small subunit ribosomal RNA", at positions 524 to 776 of the family's 1533-position model. The record is from RNAcentral.
UACGGAGGGUGCAAGCGUUAAUCGGAAUUACUGGGCGUAAAGGGCGCGUAGGUGGUUACUUAAGUCGGAUGUGAAAGCCCCGGGCUUAACCUGGGAAUUGCAUUUGAUACUGGGUGACUAGAAUGUGGUAGAGGGUAGCGGAAUUUCUGGUGUAGCGGUGAAAUGCGUAGAGAUGUGGAGGAAUACCGAAGGCGAAGGCAGCCCCUUGGGAAUGAACUGACGCUCAUGUGCGAAAGCGUGGGGAGCAAACAGG